GACGAACGCUGGCGGCGUGCUUAACACAUGCAAGUCGAACGAUGAUGCUCCAGCUUUGUUGGGGUGGAUUAGUGGCGAACGGGUGAGUAACACGUGAGUAACCUGCCCUCUUCUUUGGGAUAACGGUCGGAAACGGCUGCUAAUACUGGAUAUUCACUCAUUGGCGCAUGUUGGUGGGUGGAAAGGUUUUUUCUGGUGGGGGAUGGGCUCGCGGCCUAUCAGCUUGUUGGUGGGGUGAUAGCCUACCAAGGCUUUGACGGGUAACCGGCCUGAGAGGGUGACCGGUCACAUUGGGACUGAGAUACGGCCCAGACUCCUACGGGAGGCAGCAGUGGGGAAUUUUGCACAAUGGGCGCAAGCCUGAUGCAGCGACGCCGCGUGAGGGAUGAAGGCCUUCGGGUUGUAAACCUUUUUCGCUCAUGGUCAAGCCGCAGCUUUGGGUUGUGGUGAGGGUAGUGGGUAAAGAAGCGCCGGCUAACUACGUGCCAGCAGCCGCGGUAAUACGUAGGGCGCGAGCGUUGUCCGGAAUUAUUGGGCGUAAAGGGCUUGUAGGCGGUUGGCCGCGUCUGCCGUGAAAUCCUCUGGCUUAACUGGGGGCGUGCGGUGGGUACGGGUUGACUUGAGUGCGGUAGGGGAGACUGGAAUUCCUGGUGUAGCGGUGGAAUGCGCAGAUAUCAGGAGGAACACCGGUGGCGAAGGCGGGUCUCUGGGCCGUUACUGACGCUGAGGAGCGAAAGCGUGGGGAGCGAACAGG
Molecule: ribosomal RNA, 754 nt
Filed under: uncultured Actinomyces sp.
Lineage: Bacteria; Bacillati; Actinomycetota; Actinomycetes; Actinomycetales; Actinomycetaceae
Description: bacterial SSU rRNA
Rfam family: Bacterial small subunit ribosomal RNA
Source: RNAcentral